This 1476-nucleotide ribosomal RNA is filed under the name uncultured bacterium. RNAcentral's name for it is "bacterial SSU rRNA". It matches the Rfam family "Bacterial small subunit ribosomal RNA". The record is from RNAcentral.
AGAGUUUGAUCCUGGCUCAGAUUGAACGCUGGCGGCGUGCCUAACACAUGCAAGUCGAGCGGUAACAGGUGUAGCAAUACAUGCUGACGAGCGGCGAACGGGUGAGUAAUGCUUUGGAAUCUUCCCAGUAGUGGGGAAUAACCAGUCGAAAGAUUGGCUAAUACCGCAUACGUCUGUAAAGGGAAAGCGGGGGCUCGUAAGACCUCGCGCUAUUGGAUGAGCCAAAGUCGGAUUAGCUAGUUGGUGGGGUAAUGGCCUACCAAGGCAUAGAUCGGUAGCCGGCCUGAGAGGGCACACGGCCACACUGGCACUGAGACACGGGCCAGACUCCUACAGGAGGCAGCAGUGGGGAAUCUUGCACAAUGGGGGCAACCCUGAUGCAGCGACGCCGCGUGAGCGAUGAAGCCCUUCGGGGUGUAAAGCUCUUUCGUCAGGGAAGAAACAGACGGUACCUGGAGAAGCAGCUGCGGCUAACUACGUGCCAGCAGCCGCGGUAAUACGUAGGCAGCGAGCGUUGUUCGGAGUUACUGGGCGUAAAGGGUGUGUAGGCGGUUCUUUAAGUUUGUUGUGAAAUCUCCCGGCUUAACCGGGAGGGUGCGGCGAAUACUGAGGGACUAGAGUAUGGGAGAGGAAAGUGGAAUUCCUGGUGUAGCGGUGAAAUGCGUAGAUAUCAGGAGGAACACCGGUGGUGUAGACGGCUUUCUGGACCAUAACUGACGCUGAGACACGAAAGCGUGGGUAGCAAACAGGAUUAGAUACCCUGGUAGUCCACGCCCUAAACGGUGCAUAUUUGGUGUGGGCAGUUCAUUCUGUCCGUGCCGGAGCUAACGCGUUAAAUAUGCCGCCUGGGGAGUACAGUCGCAAGGCUGAAACUCAAAGGAAUUGACGGGGGCCCGCACAAGCGGUGGAGCAUGUGGUUCAAUUCGACGCAACGCGAAGAACCUUACCUGGGCUCGAACGGCUUCUCAACGUCGUUAGAAAUAGCGAUACCCCGCAAGGGGGUGGAGUCGAGGUGCUGCAUGGCUGUCGUCAGCUCGUGUCGUGAGAUGUUGGGUUAAGUCCCGCAACGAGCGCAACCCCUGUCCUGUGUUGCCAUCAUUCAGUUGGGAACUCGCAGGAGACCGCCAGCGAUAAGCUGGAGGAAGGUGGGGAUGACGUCAAGUCCUCAUGGCCUUUAUGUCCAGGGCUACACACGUGCUACAAUGGACGGUACAAACCGCUGCAAACCCGCGAGGGGGAGCCAAUCGGAAAAAACCGUUCUCAGUUCGGAUUGCAGGCUGCAACUCGCCUGCAUGAAGCUGGAAUCGCUAGUAAUGGCAGAUCAGCACGCUGCCGUGAAUACGUUCCCGGGCCUUGUACACACCGCCCGUCACAUCACGAAAGUGGAUUGCACUAGAAGUCUGCACGUUAACCCGCAAGGGAGACAGCGGCCCAAGGUAUGAUUCAUGAUUGGGGUGAAGUCGUAACAAGGUAACC